UCCUCUUCUUCCUGUUGGAUCAUAACAACGAGACAUCUCAAACCCCUUCCCAUCACUCUUUCUAUUUUUUUUUUCUUCUCAUUAUAUAUAAAUCUUUUCCCCUGAUUAAUCUAUUUCUCCUGAUUAAAUACAAAAUAAUUCUCCAUAAAGACAAAACAAAACCGUAAUUGGGUUCGUCGUUAAUCCUCUGCCACGCGCCGAGCUCACAAUAUAAUGGAAAUCUUAUGAUCUACGAGAGAUACAGGAGGAGGAAGAUCAAUGCUAAUCACUAGUUUGUGCAAUAUCAUCGGAUUGUGGAACCAUCUUCUGGGUUUCGUUUCUGCUCGGAGUCAUCCCUGUCUUCAUAGCAUGGAUAUACUCAGAGUUUCUGGAGUACAAGAGGUCUUCAUUGCACUCUAAAGUGUUAUUGAGUUAGACUGUAGCAAAGCAAUACUCUGCUCGGCAAAGGAUACCUCCACCUCUUGAAACUGCAGAAAAACCCUUCAGACCGUAAUCUUUGACAGGUAUCUACUAGCUUUAGGAACAAAACUCAGAGAAGAAUCAAGCUUUGGUGAUCUUUGGUAAGUGUUGGUUAUAAUUUAUUCAUAUAAUAAAUUGCUUCAGAAUCUUCAUGGGAUUAUUUUUUUGGUAGGUGAUGAGUCUGUUGAAAAGAUAGAAGAGGAGAAAGAAGAAGAGGAGAAAGAGAAGG
Brassica napus (rape) is the source of this 688-nucleotide long non-coding RNA. RefSeq lists it as uncharacterized. Lineage: Eukaryota; Viridiplantae; Streptophyta; Magnoliopsida; Brassicales; Brassicaceae. The transcript has 4 exons. The record is from RefSeq and is a predicted model, not a curated record.